This 372-nucleotide ribosomal RNA is filed under the name uncultured organism. RNAcentral describes it as "partial 16S ribosomal RNA". It matches the Rfam family "Bacterial small subunit ribosomal RNA", at positions 527 to 896 of the family's 1533-position model. The record is from RNAcentral.
GUAGGUGGCAAGCGUUGUCAGGAAUUAUUGGGCGUAAAGCGCGCGCAGGCGGUUCUUUAAGUCUGAUGUGAAAGCCCACGGCUCAACCGUGGAGGGUCAUUGGAAACUGGAGAACUUGAGUACAGAAGAGGAAAGCGGAAUUCCACGUGUAGCGGUGAAAUGCGUAGAGAUGUGGAGGAACACCAGUGGCGAAGGCGGCUUUCUGGUCUGUAACUGACGCUGAGGCGCGAAAGCGUGGGGAGCAAACAGGAUUAGAUACCCUGGUAGUCCACGCCGUAAACGAUGAGUGCUAAGUGUUAGGGGGUUUCCGCCCCCCUUAGUGCUGCAGCUAACGCAUUAAGCACUCCGCCUGGGAGUACGGCCGCAAGGCUG